RNAcentral lists this ribosomal RNA (263 nucleotides) under uncultured bacterium. RNAcentral describes it as "partial 16S ribosomal RNA". It matches the Rfam family "Bacterial small subunit ribosomal RNA", at positions 533 to 793 of the family's 1533-position model. The record is from RNAcentral.
UGCGAGCGUUAAUCGGAAUUACUGGGCGUAAAGCGCGCGUAGGCGGUUAUUUAAGUGAGGUGUGAAAUCCCCUGGGCUCAACCUAGGAACUGCAUUUCAAACUGGAUAACUUGAGUAUGUCAGAGGGUAUUGGAAUUUCCCCGUGUAGCAGUGAAAUGCGUAGAUAUGGGAAGGAACAUCAGUGGCGAAGGCGAAUACCUGGGAUAAUACUGACGCUGAGGUGCGAAAGCGUGGGGAGCAAACGGGAUUAGAUACCCUGGUAG